RNAcentral lists this unclassified non-coding RNA (334 nucleotides) under uncultured bacterium. RNAcentral's name for it is "contains 16S-23S intergenic spacer region". The record is from RNAcentral.
UCCUCGUUUAAGCGAGGCAGUCUGUCCAGAGUGCUUCGAACUCUCGUUCGAGUGGCAACAGGACACAAGGGUUGCGCUCGUUGCGGGACUUAACCCAACAUCUCACGACACGAGCUGACGACAGCCAUGCAGCACCUGUGCACGCUCCCCUUGCGGGGUCGUUACGCUUUCACGCUUCUACCACGUGCAUGUCAAGGCCAGGUAAGGUUCUUCGCGUUGCAUCGAAUUAAGCCACAUACUCCACCGCUUGUGCAGGCCCCCGUCAAUUUCUUUGAGUUUUAAUCUUGCGACCGUACUCCAACAACUAGUCAUCAUCGUUUAGGGCGUGGACUAC